GGAGUGCGUGUCUUCAAUUCCGUAGUGCAUUGCAGUGUUUGUAGCAGCAGUCUGCAAGCAGUGCGGAAGUGAGGAUUCGUCUCU
Tribolium castaneum (red flour beetle) is the source of this 84-nucleotide non-coding RNA. RefSeq annotates it as microRNA mir-932. The transcript has a single exon. The record is from RefSeq and is marked provisional. Lineage: Eukaryota; Metazoa; Arthropoda; Insecta; Coleoptera; Tenebrionidae.